AAACAUGGCUCCUUGAAUCUUAAUAAUAAGGAGUCGGACCUGCCCAGUGAAUUUUUAACGGCCGCGGUACUCUGACCGUGCAAAGGUAGCAUAAUCAUUUGCCUUAUAAUUGAAGGCUAGUAUGAAUGGUUUGACAAGAAUGAAGCUGUCUCUUUAUAAUUUAAUAGAAUUUUAUUUUUAGGUGAAGAAGCCUAAAUAAAAUUAAAAGACAAGAAGACCCUAUCGAGCUUUAAAAAAGUUAGUAGAACUAAUUAAUUGAUAUUUAUAAAAAAUUAUCUAUUAGAUAUUUUAGUUGGGGCGACUGAGGAACAUAAAAAGCUUCCUUUAAAUAAAUCAAUAAAAUCAAACUAGAAUUGAUCCAAAAUAUUUUGAUUAAAGAAAUUAGUUACCGUAGGGAUAACAGCAUUAUCUUUUUUAAGAGCUCAUAUCGAAAAAAAGGUUUGUGACCUCGAUGUUGGACCAGAAUAUCCUAAAGGUGCAGCAGUCUUUAAGGGUUGGUCUGUUCGACCAUUAAAAUUCUACGUGA
RNAcentral lists this ribosomal RNA (526 nucleotides) under Nassarius sp. FP5622 LAG-2016. Its description in RNAcentral is "partial 16S ribosomal RNA". It matches the Rfam family "Bacterial large subunit ribosomal RNA", at positions 1811 to 2603 of the family's 2925-position model. The record is from RNAcentral. Lineage: Eukaryota; Metazoa; Mollusca; Gastropoda; Neogastropoda; Nassariidae.